AUUGAACGCUGGCGGCAGGCCUAACACAUGCAAGUCGAGCGGUAACACAGAGGAGCUUGCUCCUUGGGUGACGAGCGGCGGACGGGUGAGUAAUGCCUGGGGAUCUGCCCGAUAGAGGGGGAUAACUACGGGAAACUGUAGCUAAUACCGCAUAAUGUCUACGGACCAAAGUGGGGGCUCUUCGGACCUCAUGCUAUCGGAUGAACCCAGGUGGGAUUAGCUAGUUGGUGAGGUAAUGGCUCACCAAGGCGACGAUCUCUAACUGGUUUGAGAGAAUGACCAGUCACACUGGAACUGAGACACGGUCCAGACUCCUACGGGAGGCAGCAGUGGGGAAUAUUGCACAAUGGGCGCAAGCCUGAUGCAGCCAUGCCGCGUGUGUGAAGAAGGCCUUCGGGUUGUAAAGCACUUUCAGCGGGGAGGAAGGGUCACUAGUUAAUACCUAGUGGCAUUGACGUUACUCGCAGAAGAAGCACCGGCUAACUCCGUGCCAGCAGCCGCGGUAAUACGGAGGGUGCAAGCGUUAAUCGGAAUUACUGGGCGUAAAGCGCACGCAGGCGGUUUGUUAAGUCAGAUGUGAAAUCCCCGAGCUCAACUUGGGAACUGCAUUUGAAACUGGCAAGCUAGAGUCUUGUAGAGGGGGGUAGAAUUCCNGG
RNAcentral lists this ribosomal RNA (656 nucleotides) under uncultured prokaryote. Its description in RNAcentral is "bacterial SSU rRNA". It matches the Rfam family "Bacterial small subunit ribosomal RNA", at positions 28 to 673 of the family's 1533-position model. The record is from RNAcentral.